GUGGGUUUGUAAGUCGGGCGUGAAAUCCCUCGGCUUAACCGAGGAACUGCGUCCGAAACUGCAUGGCUUGAGGACGGAAGGGGAAGGUGGAAUUCCUGGUGGAGCGGUGAAAUGCGUAGAUAUCAGGAGGAACGCCGGUGGCGAAAGCGGCCUUCUGGUCCGUUUCUGACGCUGAGGUGCGAAAGCCAGGGGAGCAAACAGGAUUAGAUACCCUGGUAGUCCUAGCCGUAAACGAUGGGCACUAAGUAGAGGGG
This 254-nucleotide ribosomal RNA is filed under the name uncultured Planctomycetales bacterium. RNAcentral's name for it is "partial 16S ribosomal RNA". It matches the Rfam family "Bacterial small subunit ribosomal RNA", at positions 575 to 828 of the family's 1533-position model. The record is from RNAcentral. Lineage: Bacteria; Pseudomonadati; Planctomycetota; Planctomycetia; Planctomycetales.